This 214-nucleotide unclassified non-coding RNA is filed under the name uncultured Agaricales. RNAcentral's name for it is "sequence contains ITS2". Lineage: Eukaryota; Fungi; Basidiomycota; Agaricomycetes; Agaricales. The record is from RNAcentral.
AAUUCUCAAUUCUUUAAUGCUUUAUUGUGUUAAAGGUAUUGGAUGUGGAGGUUAUUGCUGGCUUUCUUCUAAGUUGGCUCCUCUUAAAUGUAUUAGUGGCUUCUUUGAAGGAUCCCCAUAUAAUGGUGUGAUAGUAUAUCUACAUCAUAUAAUGGCUAGGUCAUGUAACAAAAUAAAGGAGUUGCUUUCUAACUGUCUUCGGACAACUUGAACC